RNAcentral lists this transfer RNA (61 nucleotides) under Bugula neritina. RNAcentral describes it as "tRNA-Glu". The record is from RNAcentral. Lineage: Eukaryota; Metazoa; Bryozoa; Gymnolaemata; Cheilostomatida; Bugulidae.
UAUAAUGGGUUAUGUAUAAAUAACCUUCUUUCUCUGUGUAAAAGAGUGGUUUACAUUAUAU